CCUACGGGUGGCUGCAGUCGAGAAUCAUUCACAAUGGGGGAAACCCUGAUGGUGCGACGCCGCGUGGGGGAAUGAAGGUCUUCGGAUUGUAAACCCCUGUCAUGUGGGAGCAAAUUAAAAGGAUAGUACCACAAGAGGAAGAGACGGCUAACUCUGUGCCAGAAGCCGCGGUAAUACAGAGGUCUCAAGCGUGGUUCGGAAUCACUGGGCGUAAAGCGUGCGUAGGCUGUUUCGUAAGUCGUGUGUGAAAGGCGCGGGCUCAACCCGCGGACGGCACAUGAUACUGCGAGACUAGAGUGAUGGAGGGGGAACCGGAAUUCUCGGUGUAGCAGUGAAAUGCGUAGAUAUCGAGAGGAACACUCGUGGCGAAGGCGGGUUCCUGGACAUUAACUGACGCUGAGGCACGAAGGCCAGGGGAGCGAAAGGGAUUAGAUACCCCUGUAGUC
This 446-nucleotide ribosomal RNA is filed under the name uncultured bacterium. Its description in RNAcentral is "partial 16S ribosomal RNA". It matches the Rfam family "Bacterial small subunit ribosomal RNA", at positions 338 to 795 of the family's 1533-position model. The record is from RNAcentral.